CCUGGCCUUGACAUACUAAGAACUUUCCAGAGAUGGAUUGGUGCCUUCGGGAACUUAGAUACAGGUGCUGCAUGGCUGUCGUCAGCUCGUGUCGUGAGAUGUUGGGUUAAGUCCCGCAACGAGCGCAACCCUUUUCCUUAUUGCCAGCGGGUUAAGCCGGGAACUUUAAGGAUACUGCCAGUGACAAACUGGAGGAAGGCGGGGACGACGUCAAGUCAUCAUGGCCCUUACGGCCAGGGCUACACACGUGCUACAAUGGUCGGUACAAAGGGUUGCUACCUCGCGAGAGGAUGCUAAUCUCAAAAAGCCGAUCGUAGUCCGGAUCGCAGUCUGCAACUCGACUGCGUGAAGUCGGAAUCGCUAGUAAUCGCGGAUCAGAAUGCCGCGGUGAAUACGUUCCCGGGCCUUGUACACACCGCCCGUCACACCAUGGGAGUUUGUUGCACCAGAAGUAGGUAGUCUAACCGCAAGUAGGACGCUUACCACGGUGUGGCCGAUGACUGGGGUGAAGUCGUAACAAGGUAAGCGUAGAUGA
This 535-nucleotide ribosomal RNA is filed under the name uncultured bacterium. RNAcentral's name for it is "bacterial SSU rRNA". It matches the Rfam family "Bacterial small subunit ribosomal RNA", at positions 974 to 1509 of the family's 1533-position model. The record is from RNAcentral.